ACACAUGCAGUCGACGGUGAAGCAGAGCUUGCUCUGUGGAUCAGUGGCGAACGGGUGAGUAACACGUGAGCAAUCUGCCCCUGACUCUGGGAUAAGCGCUGGAAACGGCGUCUAAUACCGGAUACGAGCUGCGAAGGCAUCUUCAGCAGCUGGAAAGAAUUUCGGUCAGGGAUGAGCUCGCGGCCUAUCAGCUUGUUGGUGAGGUAACGGCUCACCAAGGCGUCGACGGGUAGCCGGCCUGAGAGGGUGACCGGCCACACUGGGACUGAGACACGGCCCAGACUCCUACGGGAGGCAGCAGUGGGGAAUAUUGCACAAUGGGCGAAAGCCUGAUGCAGCAACGCCGCGUGAGGGACGACGGCCUUCGGGUUGUAAACCUCUUUUAGCAGGAAAGAAGCGAAAGUGACGGUACCUGCAGAAAAAGCGCCGGCUAACUACGUGCCAGCAGCCGCGGUAAUACGUAGGGCGCAAGCGUUAUCCGGAAUUAUUGGGCGUAAAGAGCUCGUAGGCGGUCUGUCGCGUCUGCUGUGAAAACCCGAGGCUCAACCUCGGGCCUGCAGUGGGUACGGGCAGACUAGAGUGCGGUAGGGGAGAUUGGAAUUCCUGGUGUAGCGGUGGAAUGCGCAGAUAUCAGGAGGAACACCGAUGGCGAAGGCAGAUCUCUGGGCCGUAACUGACGCUGAGGAGCGAAAGGGUGGGGAGCAAACAGGCUUAGAUACCCUGGUAGUCCACCCCGUAAACGUUGGGAACUAGUUGUGGGGUCCAUUCCACGGAUUCCGUGACGCAGCUAACGCAUUAAGUUCCCCGCCUGGGGAGUACGGCCGCAAGGCUAAAACUCAAAGGAAUUUGACGGGGACCCGCACAAGCGGCGGAGCAUGCGGAUUAAUUCGAUGCAACGCGAAGAAC
RNAcentral lists this ribosomal RNA (906 nucleotides) under uncultured Microbacterium sp. Its description in RNAcentral is "bacterial SSU rRNA". It matches the Rfam family "Bacterial small subunit ribosomal RNA", at positions 51 to 969 of the family's 1533-position model. The record is from RNAcentral. Lineage: Bacteria; Bacillati; Actinomycetota; Actinomycetes; Micrococcales; Microbacteriaceae.